GUUAACUCCGUGCAAGCGUCAGGGGAAAAACGGAGGGAGGAAGGUUUGUCCGGAAGCAUGUGCCGUAAGGGGCGCGUAGGCGGCCCUGGAGGGCCGCUGUGAAAGUCAAAGGCUCAACGUUGGAAAGCCGGUGGAUACUGGAGGGCUAGAGUCCGGAAGAGGCGAGUGGAAUUCCUGGUGUAGCGGUGGAAUGCGCAGAUAUCAGGAGGAACACCAAUAGCGAAGGCAGCUCGCUGGGACGGUACUGACGCUGAGGCGCGAAAGCGUGGGGAGCGAACAGGAUUAGAUACCCCGGUAGUC
RNAcentral lists this ribosomal RNA (300 nucleotides) under uncultured Enterococcus sp. RNAcentral's name for it is "bacterial SSU rRNA". It matches the Rfam family "Bacterial small subunit ribosomal RNA", at positions 496 to 795 of the family's 1533-position model. Lineage: Bacteria; Bacillati; Bacillota; Bacilli; Lactobacillales; Enterococcaceae. The record is from RNAcentral.